RNAcentral lists this transfer RNA (73 nucleotides) under Clostridium sp. AF12-19. RNAcentral's name for it is "tRNA-Val". It matches the Rfam family "tRNA". Rfam says of the family: Transfer RNA (tRNA) molecules are approximately 80 nucleotides in length. The record is from RNAcentral. Lineage: Bacteria; Bacillati; Bacillota; Clostridia; Eubacteriales; Clostridiaceae.
GGGAUCUGAGCUCAGCUGGGAGAGCAUCUGCCUUACAAGCAGAGGGUCAUAGGUUCGAGCCCUAUAGGUCCCA